GGUUCUUCACAUGGUGGAGUCUGGGAGUUAUAAAAGUCCUUCAUAUUUUGCUCGAAGUGUACCUGCUCAUAGAGACAAGGCAGAGAUCAAGUGCAUGGGCCCUGUUGGUGGAAAACACCAACAGAACCAAAAGUGUAUUUGUGCUCUCUAACCCUAAGCAUAGUGAGCAAGACAAAGUUGAUGGAUAAUAAGAUCAUGAGUGUAACAUUUAAAACAUUUGUCAGAUCAGAUCACUCAACCUUAUGGAAAGAUAAUGUAUCUAUAUUUAUGUUGUUUUUUUUUAAAAUAUAUCUUCCAA
RNAcentral lists this long non-coding RNA (298 nucleotides) under Sorghum bicolor (sorghum). Its description in RNAcentral is "long non-coding RNA (SBIC_LNC012145)". Lineage: Eukaryota; Viridiplantae; Streptophyta; Magnoliopsida; Poales; Poaceae. The record is from RNAcentral.